RNAcentral lists this ribosomal RNA (247 nucleotides) under uncultured bacterium. RNAcentral describes it as "partial 16S ribosomal RNA". It matches the Rfam family "Bacterial small subunit ribosomal RNA", at positions 523 to 769 of the family's 1533-position model. The record is from RNAcentral.
AUACGUAGGGGGCAAGCGUUAUCCGGAUUUACUGGGUGUAAAGGGAGCGUAGACGGUUCUGCAAGUCUGGAGUGAAAGCCCGGGGCUCAACCCCGGGACUGCUUUGGAAACUGUGGAACUGGAGUGCAGGAGAGGUAAGUGGAAUUCCUAGUGUAGCGGUGGAAUGCGUAGAUAUUAGGAGGAACACCAGUGGCGAAGGCGGCUUACUGGACGGUGUCUGACGCUGAGGCGCGAAAGCCAGGGGAGC